CCUACGGGAGGCAGCAGUCGAGAAUCAUUCACAAUGGGGGAAACCCUGAUGGUGCGACGCCGCGUGGGGGAAUGAAGGUCUUCGGAUUGUAAACCCCUGUCAUGUGGGAGCAAAUUAAAAAGAUAGUACCACAAGAGGAAGAGACGGCUAACUCUGUGCCAGCAGCCGCGGUAAUACAGAGGUCUCAAGCGUUGUUCGGAAUCACUGGGCGUAAAGCGUGCGUAGGCUGUUUCGUAAGUCGGGUGUGAAAGGCGCGGGCUCAACCCGCGGACGGCACAUGAUACUGCACGACUAGAGUGAUGGAGUGGGAACCGGAAUUCUCGGUGUAGCAGUGAAAUGCGUAGAUAUCGAGAGGAACACUCGUGGCGAAGGCGGGUUCCUGGACAUUAACUGACGCUGAGGCACGAAGGCCAGGGGAGCGAAAGGGAUUAGAUACCCGUGUAGUC
This 446-nucleotide ribosomal RNA is filed under the name uncultured bacterium. RNAcentral describes it as "partial 16S ribosomal RNA". It matches the Rfam family "Bacterial small subunit ribosomal RNA", at positions 338 to 795 of the family's 1533-position model. The record is from RNAcentral.